AUUGAACGCUGGCGGCAGGCCUAACACAUGCAAGUCGAGCGGAUGAAGGGAGCUUGCUCCUGGAUUCAGCUGCGGACGGGUGAGUAAUGCCUAGGAAUCUGCCUGGUAGUGGGGGAUAACGUCCGGAAACGGGCGCUAAUACCGCAUACGUCCUGAGGGAGAAAGUGUGGGAUCUUCGGACCUCACGCUAUCAGAUGAGCCUAGGUCGGAUUAGCUAGUUGGUGGGGUAAAGGCCUACCAAGGCGACGAUCCGUAACUGGUCUGAGAGGAUGAUCAGUCACACUGGAACUGAGACACGGUCCAGACUCCUACGGGAGGCAGCAGUGGGGAAUAUUGGACAAUGGGCGAAAGCCUGAUCCAGCCAUGCCGCGUGUGUGAAGAAGGUCUUCGGAUUGUAAAGCACUUUAAGUUGGGAGGAAGGGCAGCAAGUUAAUACCUUGCUGUUUUGACGUUACCAACAGAAUAAGCACCGGCUAACUUCGUG
Molecule: ribosomal RNA, 484 nt
Filed under: uncultured bacterium
Lineage: Bacteria
Description: partial 16S ribosomal RNA
Rfam family: Bacterial small subunit ribosomal RNA
Source: RNAcentral